Molecule: non-coding RNA, 274 nt
Organism: Caenorhabditis elegans
Lineage: Eukaryota; Metazoa; Nematoda; Chromadorea; Rhabditida; Rhabditidae
Source: Ensembl
UAAUAGGUUGUUGGGAGGGAGUCGGCGGCUACUUUGGAAUGGGGAGGAGCUCGACGCACACUGUAUACCGAUUGUGCGGUAUGUGUAUGUGUGUGGCCGGCGGCUUAUCGUUCGUCGCGCGCCAUCUGAAUCUGCGCCUCCUCACGGAACGCACAUCUUUUUGAGGUGAUGCUCUCUCCGCGCGGAUCCGUACUAUUUCGUGUGGCGACGGUGACCCAACGUAUCAGACUCGAGUUCCGCAUCCUUGCGUCGUCGGUCGCACCACCCCAGGCCC